This is a non-coding RNA of Phthorimaea operculella (potato tuberworm), 74 nucleotides long. The record is from the annotation of a GenBank genome assembly. Lineage: Eukaryota; Metazoa; Arthropoda; Insecta; Lepidoptera; Gelechiidae.
GCCGCGGUAGCCCAGUUGGUAGUGGCGUCGGCAGUAGAUGCCGAAGGUCGCAGGCUCAAAUUCUGCCUGCGGUG